Molecule: transfer RNA, 72 nt
Filed under: Cercodemas anceps
Lineage: Eukaryota; Metazoa; Echinodermata; Holothuroidea; Dendrochirotida; Cucumariidae
Description: tRNA-Leu
Rfam family: tRNA
About the family: Transfer RNA (tRNA) molecules are approximately 80 nucleotides in length.
Source: RNAcentral
GUUUAAAUAGCAAAGAAGUUAAUGCUAUAAACUUAGGAUUUAUUAUCAAAGGUGCAAAUCCUUUUUUAAACU